AUGCACCAGUCGACUUGUGAUACUAAACACAACAGGAGGUUCACUUUGAUAGUUUCGCUGUCUGCUGCGUCGAGCUUGGUUUUCGCCUGUCUUGCAUGUCUGAUGUACCGCCAGAAGAAGAAAAUCAGAUCAGCAAUAUUCAGAAUUUACUCUCGCAAUACAUCAAAUAUCGACGAAAUGCUAAGAAAAUGUGAAUCUCAUGCCCCGAAGAGGUAUAAGUACUCACAGCUGAAGAAAAUAACAAGAUCAUUCAAGGAUGUGCUGGGAGAAGGUGGAUAUGGUGUGGUAUACAAGGGAAGCCUGCAGGAUGGCAGAAUGGUUGCAGUGAAGCUAUUGAAAGGAUCAAAAGGCAACAGAGAAGACUUUCUGAACGAAGUUAUGAGCAUCGGCCGGACUACUCAUGUCAACAUUGUCAGUCUGCUCCGUUUUUGUUUAGAUGGAUCUCACCGAGCACUUAUAUACGAGUACAUGUCCAAUGGUUCUUUGCAGAACCACAUUUAUUCAGAGAGUUCCAAACAAGCCAUCGGAUGGGAGAUGUUCCUAAAGAUUGCGAUCGGUAUCGCACGAGGGUUGGAGUAUCUACACCAGGGUUGCAACACCCGCAUCAUCCAUUUCGAUAUCAAGCCUAACAACAUCCUUCUAGAUGAUGAGUUAUGUCCCAAAAUUGCAGACUUUGGUAUGGCAAAGCUAUGCCACCUCAAGGAGAGCGUCCUUUCAAUGGCCGAAGCGAGAGGGACGGUUGGUUUCAUCGCACCAGAAGUGUUCUCUAGAGGCUUUGGACUCGUCUUGAGAAAGUCUAAUGUUUACAGCUAUGGGAUGAUGCUCCUAGAAAUGGUCCAAGGGAAGAAGGAUGAGAAAGGAAAGGCAGACAGCCAGUGGCGGAGCCACCUCCCGGCGACCCCGGGCGGCUGCCCGGGCUAG
RNAcentral lists this ribosomal RNA (921 nucleotides) under Triticum aestivum (bread wheat). RNAcentral describes it as "partial small subunit ribosomal RNA". Lineage: Eukaryota; Viridiplantae; Streptophyta; Magnoliopsida; Poales; Poaceae. The record is from RNAcentral.